Molecule: long non-coding RNA, 250 nt
Organism: Lynx canadensis (Canada lynx)
Lineage: Eukaryota; Metazoa; Chordata; Mammalia; Carnivora; Felidae
Exons: 2
Source: RefSeq, a predicted model, not a curated record
UGAUGAUUUGGUUGCUCAAUCAGAACCAACAGUUGAGAAUGAAAGCAAUGGAAAGCUAGAAAGAGUUGUUUUUUUUAAUAUUUUGAUACUUCAGAGAGAAAUGAAGCCUGGAACUGGGGCAGCCACCUGUCAAGCAACAGAGCAUGGAGCCAGCAAAGGACAGAGGGCCAUACAGAUGGCCAGAGCCAAAGCACUCCACCCUAUUUCUGGUUUUCCUGUGCUGUAAACCAAUAAAUUUAUUAUUCAAACA